GACUAUGACGUCCUGUGGUCGCAGACGUUGCUUCUGGAGCACUGGGGUCAGUGCUUCCUGUAGAGACUUGCUGGACUUUACCACAAUACCCACUGUCUUCCCUGUGGACACUAUCUCCACCCUGAGAAAUAGACACAACUUGGCAUUAGUAGGAUUUUGUUUGUUUUGUAGGGUUUAUUUAAUGACAGGAAAUACAAAAGUGAACAUGUCGUGAAAUAUCAGGAUGUGGACACUCACGCAAAAGUCACUCUGAGCUCCAAGAAGACCUGCUGCUCCUUCAGAACUGAGCUGUCCUGAUCCAGAGAGAGGGGCUUCUGGGGAGAGGCCGGAGAACAGAAGGUAGAUGAUGACAUCCGAGAGGGGGAGGCCUCUCUUCUCACAGAGCCCAGUGAGCAUAGUGCGGAUGGAGAGGCCAGGUCGGGCUGGAGCCAGGGAGGCAGUGCCGUCAGGAAGGAACACACAACAGUACUUCUCUGCCUGGCCCGCACGCCAACGCUCCUUCUCCAACUUCUGGGGGGGAAAGGGGCCUCGUAAUCCAAACUGGUGAAUCUCAUCUCUUUUCCCAUAAAUCCUCCAG
Salvelinus namaycush (lake trout) is the source of this 577-nucleotide long non-coding RNA. RefSeq lists it as uncharacterized. The transcript is spliced from 3 exons. The record is from RefSeq and is a predicted model, not a curated record. Lineage: Eukaryota; Metazoa; Chordata; Actinopteri; Salmoniformes; Salmonidae.